Molecule: RNA transcript, 2792 nt
Organism: Nasonia vitripennis (jewel wasp)
Lineage: Eukaryota; Metazoa; Arthropoda; Insecta; Hymenoptera; Pteromalidae
Gene name: cystinosin homolog
Exons: 11
Source: RefSeq, a predicted model, not a curated record
GAUCAAAGACGCGCGAUACCGCGCUUCCUUACGUAAUUUCGUUCAUUCAUCAAUCCACUCCUUCAUUCAUUCAUAUCUCGUUCUCAAGUCUGCACACACACUUGCCUUCCGACUGAUAACAUCCGGAUCGAAAUCACCGAUCGCCGAAAUGACGAGUGUCGUCAGUUGUCGAAAAAGAAAACUGGACUUGCCGGUCAUCGUCACACACACUCACGGAGCGCAGAUUAUAUCAGUUCGCGAUCGGUUGGAGCCGAGCCGCUGUGGAGGGGGAACCGUCGGCGAGUCGACGAUUUUAUAAAGGAGGCAGCAACGCAGCCGCCGUGACAUUAUUGCGAUCGUCGCGGCUGCUGUCUGAGGUGGGACGAUCGAGAUCGGUUCGUUUUUUCGAGGAGUCAAGUGUUGUUGCACAGUGUGGAUCCAUAGAGUUGUUUCGAGGACAAGGCGAAGGCUCGACUGUGCGGAUACACGAAGCCAGCAAAACCUGCAUCCUCAAUGUGGAGACGUCCGCACGACCGAGGAGGAUCGAAGAAGGGGGCCGCGGCCUCUUUGCAGCAGCAGUAUCCGGCGGGAAAAUUCGAAUCCAGGAGACCCCGGAUUUCCAGUCGUGAAUACUAUUGAGACAGAAAAUCAGCAACGCUUCACAGUCCAGCGUGUUUUUCUUCCUCAACUGCCUUGUUUUUCACGGAGAAUUUUAUUGCCCGCCGCGCGAUAAGAGUUAUCUGUCGAUUUUUACCGGCAGCGAGCGCACGAAUUAACAAGAGGAUAACAGAUCAAGCAAGAAAAUGGACAUCUCCGUUUGCUCUCUUUUGAUGCUUCUGUUGCUGGCAGUGGGUGGUGCAACAGCAGAGUAUCGAGUAUCAGUACAAGAUAUAAGGGUUAUUCACAAGGCUCGAAAUCAUUUCUUUUUAUAUACAACAGAAAAAAAUAGAACAGCGGAUACUGAAAUAUUCUUCGAAUCCCAGCAUGUGGAUUUAGUCAGAACUGAGCCAGCUCAUUUUAUAGCAAAGAAAGAUGAAUACAAUUGGACAAUUGAAAUUCUCGGACUAAACCCUGGUAAUGCAUUGAUCAGUACAAAUGUAUCCGGAGCUGACCCAUCAGAUUUUUCGGACGCGUUCUUGCGAGUGACAGUGGAGAGAUCUGACACUCUUUACCACGUGAGUGCCGUCGUAGGAUGGAUCUACUUCUUGGCAUGGAGCAUAAGUUUCUACCCGCAGAUCCACAGCAAUUACAAGAGGAAGAGUGUCGUGGGCCUGAACUUCGACUACCUCUCGCUCAACCUCGUCGGCUUCAUCAUGUACGCGCUUUUCAACUGCGGACUAUACUGGAUACCGGAAAUCGAGCAAGAAUACUUCAGCCGCUACCCGAAAGGUCUGAAUCCGGUUCAAGUCAAUGACAUAUUCUUCGCACUGCACGCGGUCUGUGCGACGCUGGUGACGAUAGUCCAGUGCUUCAUCUACGAGACCGGGACGCAAAGGGUGUCGACGACCGCGCGGAUAAUCCACGGCAUCUUCUCCAGUUUCGUCCUGAUAUCCGUAAUACUCGCUAUUCUGCACGUGAUCCAGUGGUUGGACUUCCUCUACUACUGCAGCUACGUCAAGCUCGCAAUCACUCUCAUCAAAUACGUACCUCAGGCCUUCUAUAACUACAAGAGAAAAUCGACCGUCGGCUGGAGCAUAGGCAAUAUAUUUUUAGACUUCACCGGUGGCGUGCUCUCUAUGCUGCAAAUGAUCUUGAACGCGUACAAUUACGAUGACUGGGAAAGUAUUUUCGGCGAUCCCACGAAAUUCGGCCUUGGAUUUUUCUCCGUCGCCUUCGACAUAUUUUUCUUAGUACAGCACUACGUACUAUACAGGGACCGAAACGAGUACGUCGAGAUUCCCGGCGUCUGUCACGAGAACAAUCAAGGCGAAGACUCGAGUUGUAGCACGUAAUAGCGUGACUGCCACAACUGAAGUUCCAAAAAAAGAAAAAUUCUUCACGUUACCCAUCGAAUCUCCAUUACCUAUAAUCAUUCCACGACUUUGAGAGUGCUAUACGUAUUUUUAUAUAACUAUUUUUCUACGUCUUCAUCAUUCAUCAUCAUCGACACGAAGAACUGAUUUUUUCUCUAAUCAGUAACGAUCUGCACUUUGAUGCACUUAUAUCGCUCGUUUUCAAAAACAAAAAAAAUUCAAAUGCAUGGAUCAGUACGAAGAUCCAAAAAUGAGAAUGGCAUCUAAAGUAUCAACACUUCUGAAAACUGCCCAACUGGCAGGAUUUGCUUCGAGAAACAUCAAUUGUUGGACUGCUGCAAUUACUAAAAAGCAUAGAGAGGUUUAUCUACAAACCUAUCCAACUUUACUCCAACAUUCAAAUGGUAGUACAAUCAAUAUUCAAUACCAAGAACCCGUUGGUGUCAUCAGGCUUCCACUGGAUCUGACGACACUGACAGAAGAAGAAAAAAAGAGGAGGCUGGAAAAACGUAAACCCAAGACCAAAAUUAAGAUUCAGGACGACAUUGAUGAUGACUUUGAUGAAAAUCGCUACCUCAAGUUCAAGAAGAAAUAAAAUUAAGUACGUCAGCCACUUUUCACAGACACUUUGUUCUUUGUUAUGUCUUAGUUACUGUUUGAUGCCACACGAGCGCAGUUCAAUUUUUGUAAAUAACUUUUUUACACAACGAGAUCGUUUUAUAAGUGCACAGUACUGAAAAUAAUCAUCAAACCAUAUUUAGUUAAAUGCCAAAUUAUUCUGGCCAAUGUAAUGUGAUAAUAAUUAUAUAAUAAUAAUAAAUAGUUUAAAUGACAAAAUUG